RNAcentral lists this transfer RNA (75 nucleotides) under Schistocerca americana (American grasshopper). Its description in RNAcentral is "tRNA-Ser". It matches the Rfam family "tRNA". Rfam says of the family: Transfer RNA (tRNA) molecules are approximately 80 nucleotides in length. Their secondary structure includes four short double-helical elements and three loops (D, anti-codon, and T loops). The record is from RNAcentral. Lineage: Eukaryota; Metazoa; Arthropoda; Insecta; Orthoptera; Acrididae.
UGCUUGGGUAGCUCAGUUGGUAGAGCACUUGCCCGUGAAUGGCAAUGGUCCCGAGUUCGAGUCUCGGUCCGGCAA